GACGAACGCUGGCGGCAUGCCUAAUACAUGCAAGUCGAGCGAACAGAUGAAGUGCUUGCACUUCUGACGUUAGCGGCGAACGGGUGAGUAACACGUAAGGAAUCUGCCUAUAAGCGGGGGAUAACAUUCGGAAACGGGUGUUAAUACCGCAUAAUAUCUUCUUCCGCAUGGAAGAAGAUUGAAAGACGGCUCUGCUGUCACUUAUAGAUGACCUUGCGGUGCAUUAGUUAGUUGGUGGGGUAACGGCCUACCAAGACGAUGAUGCAUAGCCGACCUGAGAGGGUGAUCGGCCACAUUGGGACUGAGACACGGCCCAAACUCCUACGGGAGGCAGCAGUAGGGAAUCUUCCGCAAUGGGCGAAAGCCUGACGGAGCAAUGCCGCGUGAGUGAAGAAGGCCUUCGGGUCGUAAAACUCUGUUAUAAGAGAAGAACAAAUUGUAGAGUAACUGCUACAGUCUUGACGGUAUCUUAUCAGAAAGCCACGGCUAACUACGUGCCAGCAGCCGCCGUAA
Molecule: ribosomal RNA, 513 nt
Filed under: uncultured bacterium
Lineage: Bacteria
Description: partial 16S ribosomal RNA
Rfam family: Bacterial small subunit ribosomal RNA
Source: RNAcentral